GACGUAGGGGGCAAGCGUUGUCCGGAAUCAUUGGGCGUAAAGCGAGCGUAGGCGGCCCGAUAAGUCUGCUGUAAAAGUCAACGGCUCAACCGUUGAAAGCCGGUGGAUACUGUCGGGCUAGAGUUCGGAAGAGGCAAGUGGAAUUCCUGGUGUAGCGGUGGAAUGCGCAGAUAUCAGGAGGAACACCUAUAGCGAAGGCAGCUUGCUGGGACGAUACUGACGCUAAGGCUCGAAAGCGUGGGGAGCGAACAGG
This 253-nucleotide ribosomal RNA is filed under the name uncultured bacterium. RNAcentral describes it as "partial 16S ribosomal RNA". It matches the Rfam family "Bacterial small subunit ribosomal RNA", at positions 524 to 776 of the family's 1533-position model. The record is from RNAcentral.